Molecule: ribosomal RNA, 308 nt
Filed under: uncultured bacterium
Lineage: Bacteria
Description: bacterial SSU rRNA
Rfam family: Bacterial small subunit ribosomal RNA
Source: RNAcentral
AUCGAACGCUGGCGGUAUGGCUAAAACAUGCAAGUCGAACGCGAAAGUGGAGCUUGCUCCGCGAGUAGAGUGGCGAAAGGGCGAGUAAUGCAUUUCUAACGUGCCUCAAGGUCAGGGACGGCUCUUCGAAAGGAGAAUUAAUACCUGAUGAUCUCAUUGAGUUGUAUGGCUUAAUGAGCAAAGGCUUGCUGCCUUGAGAUCGGGGAAUGUGCUAUCAGGUUGUUGGUGAGGUAAAGGCUCACCAAGCCUAGGACGGCUAGCGGGUGUGAGAGCACGACCCGCCGCAUCGGGACUGAGACACUGCCCGG